CCAGUCUUCUUGCCUGGAGAAUCCUGGCGACAGAGGAGCCUGGCGGGCUACAGUCCGUGGGGUCUCAAAAAAGCUGGCCACGACUGCAGCGCCUGAGCUGGCAGCAAGCAUCUGUUACCUGUUUGCCCACCCGUGAAUCCAUCCACCCAUCCGUCCAGGUAUCAUCCCGCUAUCAGGCAGCCUCUAGGCCUGCGCCUCGCCUGUCCGCCUACCUGAUCAGUACAUCGAACACUUGGAGCUUGCAAGCCGUGAGCAGGACCUGACCGUGAAGGAGGGCCACAGUCAGGCUACAACGUGUCUGACCGAUCGCUUGUGACCCCCAUGGACGGCAGCGAGGCGUGGGGAAGGGGCCCGGGACUGUCAGAAACGCCCCGCCCAUCAGGGAGCCUUCUUCUGCAGGGGAGAGUUGGCUUCAGGCUCCAGCUUGCACAAGGCUUGCUCCAGGGAAGAACAAGUCGGUGAGGGUUAAGCAGAAAAGCUCUCUCAGCAGAGAAAACCCAAUGUGCCACAGUCAAGGGGUGUGUGGUAGCUCCCCACGGUGCCCACGUCGAGGCCACAAGCCCUGGGACCUUGAGGUGAGGCUGUGUGUGGACUUGGGCGCUCUCUGCAGGACACACACUGUCCAUGCCGCUCACCACACACCUCACAGGACAGCCUAACCUCCCCGCGGCUCUCGUAACAAAGGGGCUUUCCCCGGACACGUGGGGCACAGGGUGGUGUGAGCCCUGUCAGCCUCAAACACCCACAUGGACCCCGCCCCAGCCCUGCCAGCUGUGUUCAAAAAUGAUGAGGCUCACGUCCUGACCCCCAGAAUGUGCGAACGAGGCCUUCCGUGGAAAUAAAACGUGAGCCCUGUCAGCCUCAAACACCCACAUGGGCCCCACCCCAGCCCUGCCAGCUGUGUUCAAAAAUGAUGAGGCUCACGUCCUGACCCCCAGAAUGUGCGAACGAGGCCUUCCAUGGAAAUAAAAUGUUUUCGUAGA
Capra hircus (goat) is the source of this 983-nucleotide long non-coding RNA. RefSeq lists it as uncharacterized. The record is from RefSeq and is a predicted model, not a curated record. The transcript is spliced from 2 exons. NCBI's taxonomy places the organism in Eukaryota, Metazoa, Chordata, Mammalia, Artiodactyla, Bovidae.